RNAcentral lists this ribosomal RNA (385 nucleotides) under uncultured bacterium. RNAcentral's name for it is "bacterial SSU rRNA". It matches the Rfam family "Bacterial small subunit ribosomal RNA", at positions 29 to 416 of the family's 1533-position model. The record is from RNAcentral.
AUUGAACGCUGGCGGUAGGCCUAACACAUGCAAGUCGAACGCGAAAGUCCUGGAGUGAGUAGAGUGGCGGACGGGUGAGUAACGCGUAGGAAUCUAUCCUGUAGUGGGGGAGUAACGUUUCGAAAGGAACGCUAAUACCGCAUACGCCCCAACGGGGGAAAGGCGGGGGAGUCUUCGGACCUCGUGCUAUAGGAGGAGCCUGCGUCGGAUUAGCUAGUUGGUGAGGUAAAGGCUCACCAAGGCGACGAUCCGUAGCUGGUCUGAGAGGAUGAUCAGCCACACCGGAACUGAGACACGGUCCGGACUCCUACGGGAGGCAGCAGUGGGGAAUAUUGCGCAAUGGGCGAAAGCCUGACGCAGCCAUACCGCGUGUGUGAAGAAGGCC